CUACUUACAUUCCCCUUGGUUAAUUCGAUUUCCUUGUCUGUAAGCUUUGUAACAAAUUACAUUAGUGUUAAGCAAUGGCACCUGCUGAAGGGGGGAUAGCAACGGGUGCUCUGAGGAGCCCACCCCGUGGCAGAGCUGAGCAUUGUCCGAUUGGAAGCCGGACAGCGACUGAGCAAGUGGAAAGAAAUGUGGUCGCGGCCGUGACACCAGAGCCGUUGUCGGUUGAGCUCCUUAUAGGGUGAGUUUGAAGAACCCAUUGGCAUUUGUGGCUGUAGUUGCCACAGUGCUGGCAAUGGUAGUGGUACUGGUACCAGCAAGAUUGCGAGUGAUCGAGACAUUGGCUCCAGAUAGAGGAGGAGUAAUGCCAAUAGGUAAAAGAUUCCCCGUAUUAGUGCAAAACAAGCGACCAAAAAUGGUAGCUGAAGCUACAGGUAAUGCAAUCUUGUCAAGUGCGACGGUGGACGGGGUAAUAGCAGUCGUGAAAACAAUGAGGAGAGCAAGGCCAAGAAACAAAUCAUUAUGUGCUGAUGAGAAGCCAUGACUGCAGAUAUCAAGUAUGCGGCUUUUGCUGGGAAUGCUUGGGAGAAGACAAGCUUAUAUAAUAGAAUUUUGGCCCUGGGGAAUGUAGAUGAUGGUUAUCAAGGUAGCUAUCCUUUGAAGUCUUACACCUAUUUACCCUUUCAAGUUUCUUUCGUAUUUUUGCUAGGUUAGAAAUUAUGACCACUUCAUCCAGGAAAUACGAGAAUGAUUGGUUUGAUAAUAGGUAUCCACUUUUGUAAACUUCAUAGCCAUUGGGUCUAUUUUCUUUUGAAUUUUAGUAGCAUGACAAGUCUGUCAUUUUGGAAGUUUCCCACAUACUACAGCUCUCUCUAUCCUUAAUUAUUUAUCACUUCAUGUAAGACAUAGGCGAAAAUAUCUACAAAUCAGGGAUGGAAAUACCUAACAUAAAGGGAUAAAAUACGCAACGGAUCUUCUGUACCACACCCUGUCUCACAUCCUGUCCCACUUCUUAGAAUCUCGCCAAGUGUCCCUUAAUAAACCAACCUCUCAAACAACCCAACUCAGACCAUAUUAAAUUAAUUAAUCGAUUAACCGGACAAAGAAACUUAAUCUCUUUAAUCAAUAUAAUCAAAACCAAGAAAAAUAAAAACUCUUUAACCAAAAUUACAAUUUAUCAACGGAAAAAACCCUAUAACUCAAACAACCUCUGUCCUCUUCAUCAUCUCUUCUCAUGGGAAACAACUUUUUUACGAGGAUUAGAUAAAGCUUCGAAGCUCUUCCCAAAGGGCAUUUUCUUUCUAGCUACGCAGGCCAAUUUGAUGUAAUUUGCUAAGCUCACCACCUGUUCGAGCAAAUUCCUAAGAGGAAGAUGAAUCAAACUGUAAGGUAAAAGGGAAAAGGGUUGCUCCCAUAUUUAUUAGGAGGGUGUUUUGCGUUUUAUACGUUUGAUUUUGUUUAUUAGGACUGCCUGUAGGCUUGUAAUUAGUAGUUAGAAAAUAUGUUAAAGUUUGCAUGAUGGUUACUUUUUUGUGCUGGCACAUGCGAUCCUUGUCUCCCUUCUCUGCGCAGGCCAAUCAAACUGUAAGCUUCUAAUUUGC
This is a long non-coding RNA of Coffea arabica (coffee), 1598 nucleotides long. RefSeq lists it as uncharacterized. The record is from RefSeq and is a predicted model, not a curated record. Lineage: Eukaryota; Viridiplantae; Streptophyta; Magnoliopsida; Gentianales; Rubiaceae.